GACGAACGCUGGCGGCGUGCUUAACACACGCAAGUCGAACGGUGAAAGCGGAGCUUGCUCCGCUGGAUCAGUGGCGAACGGGUGAGUAACACGUGGGCAACCUGCCCCUCACUUCGGGAUAACUCCGGGAAACCGGGGCUAAUACCGGAUAACAUUUUGAACCGCAUGGUUCGAAAUUGAAAGGCGGCUUCGGCUGUCACUUAUGGAUGGACCCGCGUCGCAUUAGCUAGUUGGUGAGGUAACGGCUCACCAAGGCAACGAUGCGUAGCCGACCUGAGAGGGUGAUCGGCCACACUGGGACUGAGACACGGCCCAGACUCCUACGGGAGGCAGCAGUAGGGAAUCUUCCGCAAUGGACGAAAGUCUGACGGAGCAACGCCGCGUGAGUGAUGAAGGCUUUCGGGUCGUAAAACUCUGUUGUUAGGGAAGAACAAGUGCUAGUUGAAUAAGCUGGCACCUUGACGGUACCUAACCAGAAAGCCACGGCUAACUACGUGCCAGCCGCCGCGGUAA
This 513-nucleotide ribosomal RNA is filed under the name uncultured bacterium. RNAcentral's name for it is "partial 16S ribosomal RNA". It matches the Rfam family "Bacterial small subunit ribosomal RNA", at positions 28 to 523 of the family's 1533-position model. The record is from RNAcentral.